UGGGGAAUAUUGGACAAUGGGCGAAAGCCUGAUCCAGCCAUGCCGCGUGAGUGAUGAAGGCCCUAGGGUUGUAAAGCUCUUUUGUGCGGGAAGAUAAUGACGGUACCGCAAGAAUAAGCCCCGGCUAACUUCGUGCCAGCAGCCGCGGUAAUACGAAGGGGGCUAGCGUUGCUCGGAAUCACUGGGCGUAAAGGGUGCGUAGGCGGGUUUCUAAGUCAGAGGUGAAAGCCUGGAGCUCAACUCCAGAACUGCCUUUGAUACUGGAAGUCUUGAGUUCGGGAGAGGUUAGUGGAACUGCGAGUGUAGAGGUGAAAUUCGUAGAUAUUCGCAAGAACACCAGUGGCGAAGGCGGCCCACUGGCCCGAUACUGACGCUGAGGCACGAAAGCGUGGGGAGCAAACA
Molecule: ribosomal RNA, 402 nt
Filed under: uncultured bacterium
Lineage: Bacteria
Description: bacterial SSU rRNA
Rfam family: Bacterial small subunit ribosomal RNA
Source: RNAcentral